AGUAGUAAGGAGGCGAGGUGGCAGAAUAGUUAGCACGCCGGGCAAAGUACUUAGCAGUAUUUCGUCAUUUUCGCGUUCUGAGUGCAAAUUCCUUUCGAUCGACUAAUUAAGUACCAGUCAAGCUCUGGGGUCGAGGUAAUCGACUUGCUCUAGCCCAAAAUUUCAGGUCAUUAUGCCUAUAAUAGAAGCUUUACGACAGUCUCCGCCAAUGUCAGUUGUGGAAGUUUUCCUCCUUGGUAAGAUUUAGUUCCUCAAUUACCCAAUAGGGGGACAGUGAUGAAUAAUAGCUUCUAACGAGAACUGACAAUAGUGGUGAGGUUGGAGAAUAUUUGAUACCGUCGUCUCCGUUCUUGACUGGUUCUCUAUUUUAUUGACCCCGAAGAGAUGAAGAGAACCUCGGUGAGAUUUGAGCUCAAAACGUAAAAAACUGGAAAAAAUACUGCAUAGCGCAAAGAAGUGCUGUUAAUUUUGGCGCAAUGCAGGAAAUUUCGUUUCGGUAAUUAAAGCAAGCCAUUACAUUUUUUUUAUUUACUCCCCUUUGCUUCAGUCUGGCUUUCGUCGGGGAACCUGCUACACGUGGUAGCAGAUUAUCUUCGUCUCUUUUCUUCUAAGAAAUUAGCGACUUUUGUAUCAAGACUGCCGUGGAAAAUGAUUGUGUCGAAGAUAAUGAUGAAAUAGUGAGUAAAGCAACGAUUUAAUUUAUUUUUUGAAGAGCGUUUUUUCUUUCUACAAACCUCAUAUAACAACUGUAAUGAUGAUGACCCAGUCAUCUUACAAUAGUCAAGAUUUACAUUUUACCCUUCGUAAAUACUGUUCUAUUUAUGAAAAUUGAUAUAUCACUCCGUAUUAUGACCAACAACACCUUCAAACAAUAAAUUUCUCUCUUCUCGCCACAUGCUGACGGUAUAACAAUUAUAAUUUGAUAAAUUAUGUGUAUUCGAGUACCCUUCGGUACUACUAGCGAACAGUGGUCCCGGAGUGCGCACUCGCGCAUCUGCGCUAGCUAGUCGUAAGUAGUUGAUCCUACAACCCCAUUGGCGAUCUUUCGUCUCUAGUAGACCUUUCCGUCGAUUUCCGUAAAAUUUUUUUUUUUUUUACGUAUGGGCUUGCGGGAACUUUUGAAGUAAUAUACAUACAUAUACACAUACACCGAGUAAAAAAUUUCAGUUAUCUCUUUCUUUCACACAUUACUCUGUCUCUUCGCACACACUAACAGAAGCACUUCACUUACACAACAUACUGUCUGUCUCCCACACCCCAUCAAACACACACACAUACACACAUGUACAUCAAUGCUUGCCAUGCACGGUAACUUCAAAAGAACUUCCCUCGUCAUACAAUCGCUUUCUCUUAGUCUCUUUCGCUCUCAUUACUUCAAAAGUUCCCGCAAGCCCAUAUGUAAAAAAAAAAAUUUUUUACGGAAAUCGACGGAAAGGUCUACUAGAGACGAAAGAAUGCCUGAUAGAUUAUGUUUAUUCGAGUACCCUUCGGUACUACUAGCGAACAGUGGUCCCGGAGUGCGCACUCGCGCAUCUGCGCUAGCUAGUCGUAAGUAGUCGAUCCUACAACGCCUUUUUAACCCUAAACCUAAUCUUUGUUUAUAAAAAUAAUUUAUUUACUUAGUUUAAAAAAUUAUUUAGGAUCGACUAUUACGACUAGCUGGCGCGUGUGCUAGUAGUACCGAAAAAGCUUCUGAAAAAACAUCAAAUGUAAUAAAAAUUAUGCAAAUGCUGAAUUUCAAUUCUUCAUUCUAGACACAAUGGAAUUUUCCCCCUACCGGCUUUGUUUCUGUAUAACUUUUCUUAGAUAUGCGGUAUUUUUAACGAAGCUUUCCAUUUUUAAAUGGCGGGGAUAAUAACUAGUGGGGUACUACUAGCGAAUUAACAAGUAGGAAGAACUACUAAUGAAAUAAUUAAAUACAAAUAGUUCACACAAACGGAUACACAAAACCACUCAGUAAAGCAAUUGACAUUGUUUAAAAUAUUAAAAAGAUUAUUAAACCUUUUCAUUACCAUAUUUUUGAUGAAAUGGACUGCCAUUGUUUCAAUUAAUUUCGAAAAUUAUGAAGAAUUUAGUAAAUAGAAUAUUAACAUGGAAUUUCAAUAGGUUUUAAUUUGAUCAGCAGGAAGUUUGUAUUAUAAACCCUGGAGGUGAUCUCAGCCAGGUUGAUAUUGAAACAGUUAAUAUAAUAAUUGAACUAAUGUAGUUGUGAUACCCGUGCUGGUGGCAUGUAAAAAGCACCAUCUGUAUAUAUUUCUUUAUUACCCACAAGGGGCUAAACACAGAGAGGAUAAACAAGGGCAGACAAACGGAUUAAGUCGAUUAAAUCGACCCCAGUGCGUAACUGGUACUUAAUUCAUCGACCCCGAAAGGAUGAAAGGCUAAGUCGACCUCGGCGAAAUUUGAACUCAGAACGUGAAGGCAGACGAAAUACGGCUACGCAUUUCGCCCGGCGUGCUAACGUUUCUGCCAGCGCUGCCUGACUGGCGUCUGUGUUGGUGACACGUAAAAAGCAUCACCUGAUUGUGGCCAUUUGCCAGUCUCCUCUGGCCCCUGUGCCAGUGGCACGUAAAAAGCACCCACUACACUCACGGAGUGGUUGGUGUUAGGAAGGGCAUCCAGCUGUAGAAACACUGCCAGAUCAGACUGGAGCCUGGCGCAACCUCCUGGCUUCCCAGGCCCCGGUCGAACCAUCCAACCCAUGCUAGCAUGGAAAACGGACGUUAAACGAUGAUGAUGAUGUUCUGGUUCCAUCUUGUCUGGAAAUUCUGGUCAAAAGGAGGAUCCAUGCAUGAUAUCUAAAUACUCUCCAUCUUUCACCGUGCUAUCAUGUUGACUCAUUAAUAUAAGAAAGCUUUUUAUAUUAAAUGAGCAGUGUCGCCUGGCGUUGCUCGGGUUUGUAAGGGAAAUAACUAUAUAAGCAUUUUUAGAGAGUUACUUCCCUUAUGGAUGCCAAUUCGGGCUUUCUUAGCCAUUUCUGUUUUGGUGUCUUCAAGCCAUGAAGUCGUUGUUCUAAAAGAACGCUGGUCUCCUUGACAACGCUUUACGACGUUGAUUUCCUUACACUCCCUUCCCCACAGCUUCACGAGGGAGGGAAGAAGGGGAAGAAGCAAACAGGUGCAGCUGUGAGCGUGGACGCCAACUCUGCCGCCAUCGACACACGAAAAAAUAUGCAUUAAAAUGGAAUAAAAAAAUGAUGUUAAAUUAUUUUUAAAAUCGUAGACGCGCGCUAAUACCCAGACGGGCUCGAUAUGAAUCACGACUAUAAGCUACCCGAAUUUGGUUAAACUGCACCGCAAAAUGUGGGAGUAGUUAGGAAUCUAAAUCGAAGGGGACAGACACUCACACAACUACAGUUUUAUAUAUAUAGAUGUAUUUCAUGGACUGAGUUUUGGUCACGAUUGCAAAUAUUUCCCAAAUUAGGUGUAUAACUAAGUACUUAAUUUUUUGAAAUAAAACUGCAUUUAGUCAUUAUAGCUUAUUUGCUGAAGGACAUUUGCCAAUUCUUUUUACUAGUUCUGUGGCCCACCUGUAACUGAUGUUUGCACAGAAUACUUUGUUCAGCUAAUUGUUUUACUGCAAAUAUCUGAUCUUAUACGUUGCUUUAACCCUUUAGUGUUCAGAUUAUUCCAUCAAACAUAAUACUUAUUGAUUCCCAUUGAUUUGAAUUAAUCAUGCAUUAUCUCAUAUCUUCAAGAUCUUGAUGGUGUAAUUACUUAAUGUAGAAUAACAUUGUAGGGUAGGUGUGAGGGCCUGGAUCUGGUCAGUUUGAACAUAAAACGGAUUAGCUAUUUUGGCCGGAUAUGGCCGGUUUAAAUACUAAAGGGUUAACCCUUUAGUAUGCUGUUGUAAAUGUCAUUCAACCUGCUAAAAAAAACAGCCAAAUAUCACUCUUGCAAAAGAAGAUAGGAUGAUCUCAACUGGAAUGCUUUUGAUCAGUCAGGAUUGCAUGGUGGUGUUGUGGUUGAUCUUCAAGGAAAUAGUUUCCGUUUAGUUUUUUUUUUCAAAUUGCUGAUACUAUUCAUUACAACUUCUGACAGAAGUAUCCCUGUUUUUCAGUGAUAAGGUGGGGGUUUGAUCUCUGAUUGCACAGAGCCAGAGCAGAUACACUGCAAGGCAUCCAGACCAGUGUUCUAACAAUACUGCCAGCUGACUGCACUGGGCUGGAAUUUUUAUCAACCUUGAAGGAUGAAAGGCAAAGUAGACUUUGGUAGGAUGUGAACUCAGAACACGGAGAUUCAACAAACACCACAUGGCAUUUGUGCCUGGUGCUAAAUAUUUUUUUUUCUGGUUUGGCCAGUCAAUGUCUGUCAAUUCUUCAUCUAUCACUAUAUUUAGGUUAAUUUUGCUACAUUCACUGAUUACUGUUCCAAAUAACCAUAGUGGAACAUACUCUGCUUUAGGUUUUGGAUGUUUCAUUGAAUAAGUUCAUUUCAAAGAACUCCCUGAAGUAUGUAAAAUGAACAGUGAUGCUAGUACAUACAGUAACUACUGUACAUGAGAUUUGGUGAACCUUUAGUCACUUAACCUACAAAAACAGCAGCUAAAUUCCUUUACAUCCUAUCAUUAAAAAAUAGCCCCCUCAAAUAAUGCAUUAAAUAAUGUUAGUCCUUGAUACAAAAACACUGGAUGAUCUCACUGGAAUGGCUUUGAUCAUAGGUCUGUUCCUGCUCAUUUAGGGAACAUCUCUCUCUCUAUAUAUAUAUAUAUAUAAAUGGCAAAAUGUGUGUGUGUGUGCAUGUCCUUUAUACAGGUCCACAAUUUUUCAGUUGGAGGGCUUGCCCUUUCUAUGGUCAUCAAAAACCAUCCAGAGCCAUUGAAAGAUCAAUGGAAGUGACUUUUUUGUGAAUUUUCUAUCCAAAACCUAAUCAAAAUGCCCGAAGCUUGAUACGCCAAUUGAAUGCCAGCUAACUGUGUGUGAUUUGGACAGUACUCGCGUGUAUGUGCGCACGCACGCAUCUGUAUAUGCAUGCACUAGCACUAUGACCCGGCGUUGCCGGGUCAUAGUGCUAGUUUGGGUUAAUCAACAACUUGUGGCUUGAACACAUUUGAAACUUUUGGGUUAUAACUAAUUCUUAAGUAAGACCUGUGUGUCUCAUUAAAUUUCAACCCUGCAUAAUUUCUAUGGCUUUUUAAUAUUCAUCAAAAAGUUCAGUAUAUAUAAUUCUUCUGUCUAAGGUGGCUAGCUUUGUGGAAUUUCUCUUGGUUUUUCUUUAUACUCUUUUACUUGUUUCAGUCAUUUGACUGCGGCCAUGCUGGAGCACCGCCUUUAGUCGAGCAAAUUGACCCUGGGACUUAUUCUUUGUAAGCCCAGUACUUAUUCUAUCGGUCUCUUUUGCCGAACCGCUAAGUGACGGGGACGUAAACACACCAGCAUCGGUUGUCAAGCAAUGCUAGGGGGACAAACACAGGCACACACACACACACACAUACAUAUAUACGACAGGCUUGUUCUAAUUUCAAUUAAUGCUGAGGUCAACUUUGCCUCAUUUAUCCUUUUGGUGGUUGAUAAAAUAAAGUAAGUCAAGUACAUCAACUUCCCGCUCCCAACCUCAAAAAUUUCUGGCCUUGUGCCAAAAUUAGAAUCAUCAUCAUUUUUUGUGUCUUUUUUUUUUUUUUUUUUUUUUGCUGUCAAGGUUGGACAAGAAUUCUUGAAGCGGUAUUCUAUGGCAGAUUACACUUCCUGAGGCCAUUCCUUAUUUAUUUUCAACUUAUUGACAACCGAUGCUGGUGUGUUUACGUCCCCCGUAACUUAGCGGUUCGGCAAAAAGAGAUCGAUAGAAUAAGUACUAGGCUUACAAAGAAUAAGUCCUGGGGUCGAUUUGCUCGACUAAAAAAAUGGUGAAGCUCCAGCAUGGCCACAGUCAAAUGACUGAAACAAGUAAAAGAAUAAGGUUCUUCAUUCCCUAGCUCUUCAACUAUGAAAUCACUGAACUACAGGGCAUUAUGUAGAACAAAUGUUAUUGUGCCCAAGUUGUAUCACUGCAUGGUAGAGACACACAUAUUUGUGUACACAUAUACAAAAGGCGCAAGCAUAGCUGUCUGGUUUGCUUCUCAAUCAUGUACUUUUGGAGUCAGUCCUACUGUAUGGAAGUGUUUUUUUACAUAACUUUAUUUUUUUGUCUGGAGCAGUAAAUUUACUAUAAUAGAAUUUCAUAUCAUCAUCAAUAUCAAUAUAUUAAAGUGAUAUCAUCAUCAUCAUCAUCAUCGUUUAACGUCCGCUUUCCAUGCUAGCAUGGGUUGGACGGUUCAACUGGGGUCUGGCAAGCCCGAAGGCUGCACCAGGCCAGUCAGAUCUGGCAGUGUUUCUACAGCUGGAUGCCCUGCCUAACGCCAACCACUCCGAGAGUCGAAAGGAUGAAAGGCAAAGUCAACCUCGGCGGAAUUUGAACUCAGAACGUAACGACAGAAGAAAUACCUAUUUCUUUACUACCCACAAGGGGCUAAACACAGAGAGGACAGACAAGGGGAUUAAGUCGAUUACAUCUACCCCAGUGUGUAACUGGUACUUAAUUUAUCGACCCCGAAAGGAUGAAAGGCAAAAUUGACCUAGGCGGAAUUUGAACUCAGAACAUAGCGGCAGCUGAAAUGCCUAUUUCUUUACUACCCACAAGGGGCUGAACAUAGAGGAGACAAACAAGGACAGACAAAGGAAUUAAGUCGAUUACAUCUACCCCAGUGUGUAACUGGUACUUAAUUUAUCGACCCCGAAAGGAUGAAAGGCGAAAUCGACCUCGGCGGAAUUUGAACUCAGAACGUAGCGGCAGACGAAAUACCUAUUUCUUUACUACCCACAAGGGGCUAAACACAGAGGAGACAGACAAGGGGAUUAAGUCGAUUACAUCUACCCCAGUGUGUAACUGGUACUUAAUUUAUCGACCCCGAAAGGAUGAAAGGCGAAAUCGACCUCUGCGGAAUUUGAACUCAGAACGUAGCGGCAGACGAAAUACCUAUUUCUUUACUACCCACAAGGGGCUAAACACAGAGGAGACAGACAAGGGGAUUAAGUCGAUUACAUCUACCCCAGUGUGUAACUGGUACUUAAUUUAUCGACCCUGAAAGGAUGAAAGGCAAAGUUGACCUCGGCGGAAUUUGAACUCAGAACGUAACGACAGAAGAAAUACCUAUUUCUUUACUACCCACAAGGGGCUAAACACAGAGAGGACAGACAAGGGGAUUAAGUCGAUUACAACUACCCCAGUGUGUAACUGGUACUUAAUUUAUCGACCCCGAAAGGAUGAAAGGCGAAAUCGACCUCGGCGGAACUUGAACUCAGAAUGUAGUGGCAGAUGAAAUACUGCCAAGCAUUUCACCUGGCGUGCUAACGUUUCUGCCAGCUCGCCACCUUUCAGAUUGCUCUGUCAGAUGUAAUGCUUAGGUAUUCACAUUGUUUUCAAUUCAGCAUUAAUUAUCUUGUAGCUUUCAGAUUUCAAUGGUGUGAUUGCUUAUUUUUAGAAUGACAUUACAGGGUAUGUUUGGUCGGUUUCAGCAUAAAUUAGACAAAAUAUUUCAACUGGAUAUGUCUGGUUUAAUCCUUUAGCAUUCAGGUUACUCUAUCAAAUGUAAUACUUAUUUAUUCACAUAGUUUUAAGUUAACCCUUUAGUGUUCAAAUUUCUCUAUUAAAUGUAAUACUUUUUCACUCAGAUUGUUUUGAAUUAAUCAUGCAUUACCUUAUAGCUUUGAGGUUUCAAUGAUGUGAUUGUUUGUUUUUAGAAUGUCAAUGUAGGUUAGGUGUGAGAGGCUAGAUAUGGCCAGUUUGAAUAUAAAAUAUGUAGAAUAUAUUGGGCCGGAUUUGGCCGGUUUAAGCACUAAAGGGUUAAACAAACAUUAUCUUGUGGCUUCGAGAUUUCAAUGAUGUGAUUUACUCUUUCACUUGUUUCAGUCAUUUGACUGCGACCAUGCUGAGCACCACCUUUAGUUGAUCAAAUCGACCCCGGGACUUAUUCUUUGUAAGCCCAGUACUUAUUCUAUUGGUCUCUUUUGCCGAACCGCUAAGUGGCAGGGACAAAAACACACCAGCAUCGGUUGUCAAGCAAUGCUAGGGGGACAAACACACGCACAUACAUAUAUAGGACGGGCUUCUUUCAGUUUCCAUCUACCAAAUCCACUCACAAGGCAUUGGUCGGCCCGGGGCUAUAGCAGAAGACACUUGCCCAAGAUGCCACGCAGUGGGACUAUACCCGAAAACAUGUGGUUGGUAAACAAGCUACUUACCAGGCAGCCGCUCCUGCGCCUGUCUAUUUUUUAAAGUUUGCUUUGUCUUACAUUAUUUUUUUCUCUGUAAUUUCAGAUUAUCUGGUGAUAUUGGCAUCUACAGACGCUUUUACAUCAACGAUUAUUAAAAUCUGUGAAAAAGAGAUAAACAUCUGCAUAUUUUGGUGUGAGAAGAAUAAAUACGGAAAAUGAAUUCUGUGAAAGCAACUCAGUCUAUAAAAGGAUUGAUUCUUCUGCUGCUACAGAAGAAGGAACAGGUAAGAUAUUAUGCCAUUGUGAUAUCUGUAAGGAGAUAUAUUCUCAGAACGAUAACCCCAAUAAACACAAAUAUAUUCAAGCAAACUUAUUGAUUCACAUAUUAUUCAGUUUCCGUCUACCAAAUCCACUCACAAGGCUUUGGUCCGCCCGAGGCUAUAGCAGAAGACACUUGCCCAAGGUGCCACGCAGUGGGACUGAACCCGGAACCAUGUGGUUGGUAAACAAGCUACUUACCACACAGCCACUCCUGCACCUAUAUAUAUACAUACACGACGGGCUUCUUUCAGUUUCCAUCUACCAAAUCCACUCACAAGGCAUUGGUCGGACGGGGCUAUAGCAGAAGACACUUGCCCAAGGUGCCACGCAGUGGGACUGAACCCGGAAGCAUGUGGUUGGUAAGCAAGCUACUUACCACACAGCCACUCCUAUGCCUGAUGUUUGUAGUAAAUCAUUAUCCCUUGGAAUUAUCUUGAUAAACUCAAUAUGUUUACAUAGAGAAACAAUAUCACUGAUGUGUUACCAAUAAAUAUAUUCAGGCAUAUUUACACAGUAGAGAAACCAUAUCACUGUGAUAUCUGUUGUGUAUCAUUUUCUCAAACAUUACGUAAACUGCACACAAAAACAUCCAUACAUGAGAGAAACCAUAUCGUUCUACUAUCAGUUGUGAGUAAUUUUCUCAAUAACAAAAAUUAACUACCUAUAGUACAGUCUGGUUAACCCUUUCGUUACCAACCCGGCUGGAACUGGCUCUGACCCUGUAGUACAAUGUCUUGUUUUCAAAAGUUCUGAAUUAAAAUCUUCCACCAAACCUUAGUCACAAUUUAUGUUCCUAACACUAAGCUGAAAGAUAACUAAGUUAUUUUACUAAAUUCUGUGUUAUAUUUAAAAUUAAUUGAAAACGAAAACAGAGCAUCUCAACAGAAAUAUGGUAACAAAAGGGUUAAAGACAGUCGGUCAUGUGUGUCUUCAAUGUGCACAAGAUUUGGUUGCUAUUUCUAACAAGUGAAACAAAAUCUGCAAAUUUACCCUUUGAUUACCAACCCGGCUGAAACCACCUCUGGCUAUGUAGUACAAAUGUUUUCUUUUCAUAAGAUUUGAAUUAAAAUCUUCCACCAAACCUUAGUCACAAUUUAUGUUCCUAACACUAGCUGAAUGAUAACUAAGUUAUUUUACUAAACUCAUUGUUAUAUUUAAAAUUAAUUGAAAGAAACACAGAGCAUCUCAACAGAAAUAUGGUAACAAAAGGCUUAAAAAUAUAUGAUAGAGAAACAAUUUUUAACCCUUUUGAUACCAACCCGUCUGAAACCGGCUCUGGCUCUGUAGUAUAAAUGUCUUGUUUUCAUAAUUUUUGAAUUAAAAUCUUCCACCAAACCUUAGUCACAAUUUAUGUUCCUAACAUUAGCUUAAUGAUAACGAAGUUAUUUUACUAAACUCAUUAUAUUUAAAAUAAUUGAAAGAAACACAGAACAUCUCAAAAUAAAUGCAGUAAGAAAAGGGUUAAUACAGUUCAAUGGAAGGUAGGCAAAAGAUAAUGCCUAGGGAUUGCGCUCUUGCCUUUUUCAGUAUUCUCUGUCUUACAAUAUUUUGUUUUCUAUCAUUUCAGAUUUGCAGAUGACAUCACCCUCUACUGAUGGAGUCGGCUACUCUGGGAAACCUGUUUAAAAUCUCAGCCAAGGCAGCAUCUGCACCAAUUCCACGAACUAAUUGGGUGAAAUGUUUCACGAGUCACUUAGCUCAGUGGUACAGCAUGCUUAAUUGGGGUUCGAGAAGUAUGGGUUUGGCCAUCUGUUGCGGCUUGCCGUGCAAUGUUUGCACUCAAGAAGACCUGCCCUCCACAGCAGAAGUGUUAUGGUUGCGUCACCUGGUGAAGAAGAUUGGCCUGCAAGCGCCCUGUGUCAAUACCACAGAAAAUGCACUUGUAUUGGUGUCAUGUAAAAGAUCUCAUGCUGGUGGCCCGUUAAAAGCACUCCGCACACUGUAAAGCGGUUGGUGUUGGGAAGGACAUCCGGCUGUAGAAACCAAGCCAAGUCAAACUGGAGCCUAAUGCAGCUUCCUAGCUUGCUUGUUCUGGUCAAACCGUCCGACCCAUGCCAGCACGGAAAACAGACACGAACCCUUUAAUGUUAGAUUACUCUGUAAGAUGUUCUGCUUAUUUAUUCAUAUUGUUUUGUGUUAAUCAUGCAUUAGGUGUAAGAGUGGCUGUGUGGUAAGUAGCUUGCUUACGAGCCACAAGGUUCCGGGCUCAGUUCCACUGCGUGGCACCUUGGGCAAGUGUCUUCUACUAUAGCCUCGGGCUAUAUAUAUAUAUACAUGUAUGUAUAUGUACAUAUAUACAUGUAUGUAUAUAUGUAUAUGUACAUAUAUAUAUGUAUGUGUGUCUGUGUUUGUCCCCCCAACGUUGCUUGACAACCGAUGCUGGUGUGUUUACGUCCCCGUAACUUAGCGGUUCGGCAAAAGAGACUGAUAGAAUAUGUACUAGGCUUACAAAGAAUAAGUCCUGGGGUCAAUUUCCUCGACUAAAGGCAGUGUUCCAGCAUGGCCACAGUCAAAUGUCUGAAACAAGUAAAGAGAGUAAAUUCGCUACAUUCGCAUGAGGAUAUUGGUUCUGUUAAAUAUCUUCGAAUGUACGUUGUCCAAUGGGAACUUUGCCUGUUGCUAGCCUUUGCAAUUAAAAUGUAAUUUUUUUAAAUUUCGUUUUCGAAGCACCGGUAAUAAUUACCCUCCACAUGUUGGUGAGUAAUUAAGUUACCUUUUUGCGAGAAUUAUUUUACAACUGAUAUCACAACGAUAUGGAUUCUUUCAAUGUACAAAUACGUUUGUGUGUUUUUAGGGUACUGAUCUCAGAAAAUGAAGUGCCACAGAUCUCUCUGCAAAACGUCUGCCACUACGUUGUGAGUUCAAAUUCCGCCGAGGUCGACUUUGCCUUUCAUCCUUUCGGGGUCGAUUAAAUAAGUACCAGUUACGUACUGGGGUCGAUGUAAUCGAUUUAGUCCCUUUGUUUGUCCCCUCUAUGUUUAGCCCCCUGUGAUCUAUCAUCAUCAUUUAGCGUCCGUUUUCCAUGCUAGCAUGGGUUGGACGGUUCAACUGGGGUCUGUGAAGCUGGAAGGCUAUAGUUACCAUUUUGCGAGAAUUAUUUUACAACUGAUAUCACAACGAUAUGGAUUCUUUCAUUGUACGAAUACAUUUAUGUGUUUUCAAGGUACUGGUUUCAGAAAAUGAUACGCCACAGAUCUCUCUGCAAAACGUAUUUUUUCUUAUGUAUACGUUUGUGAGAUGUUAUGGUACUGAUCUGUAAGAAUGAUGUGCCAUAAUUUUGACAGUGAUCUGGCUUCUCUUUGAUUUGAGUGCAUUUAUUUUACCAGUUGUGCAGAAACGUUGGCACGCCAGGCGCAAUGCUUAGCAGUAUUUCGUUACCGCUCUGUUACGAGUUCAAAUUCCGCCGAGGUCGACUUUGCCUUUCAUCCUUUCGGGGUCGAUUAAAUAAGUACCAGUUAAGUACUGGGGUCGAUGUAAUCGAUUUAGUCCCUUUGUCUGUCUUUGUUUGUACAAUCAUGUCAGUGAAAUCUUAAAGCUACCAGAUAAUGCUUGAAUAAUUAAAAGCGAUGUGAAUAAAUAAGUAGAGGCGCAAUGGCCCAGUGGUUAGGGCAGCGGACUCGCGGUCGCAGGAUCGCGGUUUCGAUUCUCAGACCGGGCGUUGUGUGUGUUUAUUGAGCGAAAACACCUAAAAAAGCUCUACGAGGCUCCGGCAGGGGGUGGUUAUCCCUGCUGUACUCUUUCACCACAAUGGCGGUGCCCCAGCAUGGCCACAGCUCAAGAGCUGAAACUGGAAAAAACAAAAAACAAACAAACAUUACACUUGACAAUAAUCUGAAUGAUAAACGGUUAAAAGACGAGGCUGAUUUCAAAUAAGUGUUCAUUAUUUGCUCAACCAUGAGAUGCUGAAAUGUAAAAAAAAAAAAAAAAUGCAGGUUUUGAAAUAAUCUUUGAGAAAAUAAGAAAAACAGUUUUAAAACAUUUCUUUACAAUUUUUAAGAGGGACUUUAUUUGAGUGAUGAAUAAGUUUAUUUUCUAACAAAGUCACCUUUUGAAAUUCAGUGUCUUGCCAUAAGUGAAAAGGCACAAGUUGUACAAAGCUAAAUAUAUUUUGUAUUUUUUGUCUGUGGCUUUCCACAAACAUAGGUGUAGGAGUGGCUGUAUGGUAAAUAGCUUGCUUACGAACCACAUGGUUCUGGGUUCAGUUGCACUGCGUGGUGCCUUGGGCAAGUGUCUUCUACUAUAGCCUCGGGCCGACCAAAGCCUUGAGUGGAUUUGGUAAACGGAAACUGAAAGAAGCCCUUCAUAUAUAUAUAUGUGCGUGUGUGUGUGUGUGUGUAUAUAUAUAUAUAUAUAAUGUAUGUGUGUCUGUAUUUGUCCCCCCCGACGUUGCUUGACAACCGAUGCUGGUGUGUUUACGUCCCCGUAACUUAGCGGUUCGGCAAAAGAGUCCGAUAGAAUAAGUACUGGGCUUACAAAUAAUAAGUCCUGGGGUCGAUUUGCUCGACUAAAGGCAGUGUUCCAGCAUGGCCACAUUCACUUGACUGAAACAAGUAAAGAGAGUAAAUUCGCUACGUUCGCAUGAGGAUAAUGGUUCUGUUAAAUAUCUUCGAAUGUACGUUGUCCAAUGGAAACUUUGCCUGUUGCUAGCCUUUGCAAUUAAAAUGUAAUUUUUUU
Molecule: long non-coding RNA, 13183 nt
Filed under: Octopus vulgaris (common octopus)
Lineage: Eukaryota; Metazoa; Mollusca; Cephalopoda; Octopoda; Octopodidae
Source: RNAcentral